This 164-nucleotide ribosomal RNA is filed under the name uncultured bacterium. Its description in RNAcentral is "partial 16S rRNA". It matches the Rfam family "Bacterial small subunit ribosomal RNA", at positions 355 to 511 of the family's 1533-position model. The record is from RNAcentral.
UAGGGAAUCUUCCACAAUGGACGCAAGUCUGAUGGAGCAACGCCGCGUGAGUGAAGAAGGUCUUCGGAUCGUAAAACUCUGUUGUUAGAGAGGAACACGAGUGAGAGUAACUGUUCAUUCGAUGACGGUAUCUAACCAGCAAGUCACGGCUAACUACGUGCCAA